Molecule: long non-coding RNA, 338 nt
Filed under: Prunus dulcis (almond)
Lineage: Eukaryota; Viridiplantae; Streptophyta; Magnoliopsida; Rosales; Rosaceae
Description: sRNA ncRNA
Source: RNAcentral
AUGGCUGCUAGUCCUAUUGGAUACAACAUUGUAUGGUUAUUUGAAAAUUUCAGUGUCUCAGCAGGCUCAAGUUAACUUUCAAGUAUUGCGACGUUCCACUGCCUUCCUUUCCUACAUUGCCUAAACCCACAUUGCCAACUACCCCUUUGAUCCCAAGAACCCAAAUCCCUUUGCCAAAUAUUCCAACAUUGCCUUCCAUCCCUGCUGCCCCCAAGGUCACUCUACCUCCACUUCCUGCCACUCCAUUGCCAACUAUCCCGACUACGAUCCCUUCAAUCCCCUCCAUUCCAACAACAAUUCCAGCAGUUCCUUUCCUGUUCCCUCCGCCAUCAAAUUAA